Molecule: ribosomal RNA, 461 nt
Filed under: Veillonella parvula
Lineage: Bacteria; Bacillati; Bacillota; Negativicutes; Veillonellales; Veillonellaceae
Description: bacterial SSU rRNA
Rfam family: Bacterial small subunit ribosomal RNA
Source: RNAcentral
GACGAACGCUGGCGGCGUGCUUAACACAUGCAAGUCGAACGAAGAGCGAUGGAAGCUUGCUUCUAUCAAUCUUAGUGGCGAACGGGUGAGUAACGCGUAAUCAACCUGCCCUUCAGAGGGGGACAACAGUUGGAAACGACUGCUAAUACCGCAUACGAUCUAAUCUCGGCAUCGAGGAUAGAUGAAAGGUGGCCUCUACAUGUAAGCUAUCACUGAAGGAGGGGAUUGCGUCUGAUUAGCUAGUUGGAGGGGUAACGGCCCACCAAGGCGAUGAUCAGUAGCCGGUCUGAGAGGAUGAACGGCCACAUUGGGACUGAGACACGGCCCAGACUCCUACGGGAGGCAGCAGUGGGGAAUCUUCCGCAAUGGACGAAAGUCUGACGGAGCAACGCCGCGUGAGUGAUGACGGCCUUCGGGUUGUAAAGCUCUGUUAAUCGGGACGAAAGGCCUUCUUGCGAACA